GCCGGUUUAGCUCAGUUGGUAGAGCAACUGAUUUGUAAUCAGUAGGUCGGAGGUUCGAGUCCAUCAACCGGCACCA
This 76-nucleotide transfer RNA is filed under the name Rickettsiales bacterium. RNAcentral's name for it is "tRNA-Thr". It matches the Rfam family "tRNA". From Rfam's summary of the family: Transfer RNA (tRNA) molecules are approximately 80 nucleotides in length. Lineage: Bacteria; Pseudomonadati; Pseudomonadota; Alphaproteobacteria; Rickettsiales. The record is from RNAcentral.